UGGGGGAUGGUCUGACUGCAGUCGAGCGAAGGAUUAAGAGCUUGCUCUUAUGAAUGGCGGCGGACGGGUGAGUAACACGUGGGUGACCUGCCCCUAAGACUGGGAUAACUCCAGGAAACCGGGGCUAAUACCGGAUAACAUUUUGCACCGCAGGUGCGAAAUUGAAAGGCGGCUUCGGCUGUCACUUAUGGAUGGACCCGCGUCGCAUUAGCUAGUUGGUGAGGUAACGGCUCACCAAGGCAACGAUGCGUAGCCAACCUGAGAGGGUGAUCGGCCACACUGGGACUGAGACACGGCCCAGACUCCUACGGGAGGCAGCAUUAGGGAAUCUUCCGCAAUGGACGAAAGUCUGACGGAGCAACGCCGCGUGAGUGAUGAAGGCUUUCGGGUCGUAAAACUCUGUUGUUAGGGAAGAACAAGUGCUAGUUGAAUAAGCUGGCACCUUGACGGUACCUAACCAGAAAGCCACGGCUAACUACGUGCCAGCAGCCGCGGUAAUACAUACGUGGCAAGCGUUAUCCGGAAUUAUUGGGCGUAAAGCGCGCGCAGGUGGUUUCUUAAGUCUGAUGUGAAAGCCCACGGCUCACCCGUGGUAGGGUCAUUGGUAACUGGGAGACUUGAGUGCAGAAGAGGAUAGUGGAUUCCAUGUGUAGCGUAAAAAGCCCCAAAAAAA
Molecule: ribosomal RNA, 673 nt
Filed under: Bacillus sp. MUR14
Lineage: Bacteria; Bacillati; Bacillota; Bacilli; Caryophanales; Bacillaceae
Description: bacterial SSU rRNA
Rfam family: Bacterial small subunit ribosomal RNA
Source: RNAcentral